GGAGACAGAACUGCUCCCAGUGGUAAAAUGCAAUUUGGCUGGAGGAAGAACUGCAAGCCAAGGGCCAGCUGACAAUGGGAACCCGGCUCUUCCUGGCACCUGGGACUGUGUUCUGUUGGAAGCAGCAGUGUGGGGAGCUGCUGACUUGCAGCAGCAAUUGUGGAUGAAGGAUACUUAAUCGGGAGCUUUGGUUCGCAUUCCCAUUUCCAACACAGCCUCCAGAGCCACAGGUGUGUGCAUAACUUGGGAAGAGGAAAGGCUCCACAGGUGAGAUGGAGAAGCUGCACAGCCAAAUCACUGAAACCCAAAGAAUUAAUCAGGUGAAGUUACACUGUGAGCAGCACCCAAGCCUUGAUUACAGCCUGUCAUCAAGGGAACCACAGAAUUUGGACCAAAAAAAAAUAUUACAAGAGGCUUAGCAUUUAAUGCUCUAAAGUAGUAAAUCCACAGCAAAUCCUCCUGAAUCUAAAUAUGCCUAAGACAUAAUUUAACUUAUUUUUUAAAGUUUUCUCGAAUGCCAUCUUACACUCCCAAACUAAGCUCCACUCUUGCUUUUGCUUUUUCAGUAGUAUGCAAAUCGGGUUACAUCCCAUGCCUUGAGUGCCCUUUUGGCAUCCCAAAAGCUCCUUCCAAUAAACAAGUCCACAUGCACCUCGGGAUCACCUUCUGGCUUAUUUCUCCUAAGACUGGUGUGAAAGCUAAACUUGGUCAAAAGCCUGCCUGGGUUUUUGGCAAAACCAAGGAUGUUAAUGGAAAACAACCCUAGUCCACGUGGGAAGAAAAUAAUCCCAGUUUUAACAUGAAAUGGAAAUUUUACCAACACCUCUGGACCAAAAGAAAACAAGCAGCCGUAACAUCACUUACUUCCACAAGAGAACUCCCACUGCAAACUGAUGGAGCUCCUACAGAUUCCGGAUAGGAAGAGGA
Molecule: long non-coding RNA, 927 nt
Organism: Neopelma chrysocephalum (saffron-crested tyrant-manakin)
Lineage: Eukaryota; Metazoa; Chordata; Aves; Passeriformes; Pipridae
Exons: 4
Source: RefSeq, a predicted model, not a curated record